UCACAUUUCCUAAUGUCGGCAGAAGCCAAUCUACAUAGAUGAAGAUAAUUUCUUCUGUCUUUGAACCUCAUUUUCCUAGCUACACCAAAUCACAGAAAGUUGCAGAUAUUGAUUGAAACCAAUCCAAUUUAUAUUGUUGUAUAAAUAGCACCCAUAGUUUGAAAUUUAUAAUGAUUUGCCUUAAUAUGAAUCCAGCAUUUUAUUCACAAUACCAAUAUGUUUGAGGCGUGCUAAUCUAACAUAUUGAAUGAUCUUUCAAUAUCUGAUAAAUGGUUACAGCAAUUAUCAACCAAAUAGAGGAGGCUACAAUGAUCUAUAUAAAGCUUGAUAAGUUGCCAUGAUAAUGUUAUUAUGUACAACUUUCAGCUAUAUAAAAAGGAUUGAAAAGUCAUUAUACUUUUACAAAAUUUAUAAAUAAUACAUGAAUAGAAAAUCGCCUAACUAGAACAUGCUCAUGAAAAUAACAAUUGAGUUAUAUAUACAAUCUUGCAUUUCUGUUAGAACCAGAGACCAAAUGUGCUACAAAAGAAAUUAGUUUUUGUGUAGCUUUUGGCUUUGUCUAAUUUUUUUCUUCCUCUUUAUUACUCUAGCUUUGUCAUUUCAUGUUAAUAGUUUUGUUUGUUAUGUGGCCUUGUCAUUUCAUGUUAAUAGUUUUGUUUGUUAUGUCUUGUCAUUUCAUAUGUUCCUUUUUACAACAUAGUUUAUAACCAUCAAUCAUCCCUUUUUGUUGUUUGCAAGUGAUAUUUCUAGAUGUAAUAUGCCGCUGAAGUGUUGAAAAUAUCAUCAUCCUUCUUAGGUGUCAAGUUUCACAACUUGAAAAAUGCUUAGUGCAAUCCAUAAAUUGUUAACUUGAAAAAUGUAUAACAGAAUUGAAUUACAAUGUCAAUUGUUAAAGACAAGCAUCCAAUGUAUUGCAACAUAGAGGUUAAGAAGAGUAGAUUAAGCACCUAGCACACAGGCUAACCUACUCGUUCUGGAUGCUCCCCUACACCAGUCCUUACAGCUCCAAUAAUCUAAAAGCACAAAAUAGACAUAGAUGCCCUGAAAUUAUGAAACAUUCAAUCACAAUGUUAAAUGCAAAUGAUAUUAAUUGACAAUAAAAGUAAAAUUCAAUUCAAUCCAUUAAUUAAAAAAAGCACUUUAAAAUUCAGCAAACCUCAACAGAAAUCAACUGCACAUAGAUAAGAUCAACUCUAGUGGAAUGAAAAAGAAGAAACUUACUACUCUGGCACUGUGACGAGGAUGAUUGAAGCUUCCUCGAGAGUCAUAGCACAAAAACUGUUCUUGAGAAAGUAGAUACAAUUCAGAAUUGUAAUUUAGUAUUUCUAUCUAUUAAUUACAUAUAACAAAGUUCAAUGCAGUCCAUAUCAAAUAAGAUGAGAGUUGGAUUCAAACCAGAAAUUCUCACAAUAAUGCUCACACAAAUUAUAGAUCUAGAUUGGGAGAAAUGCAUCAUCCCCACAUGCAGUCACACACCCAAAAGUUGAUGAACAGAGUGUACUCAUUUGCUGAUUUGUUCAACCCAUAUGUUAAUAACAAUAAUGAGCUUGCCACAAUACAAGAGCAAUAUUAAUUAAAACAUAAUAAUAGAAUAAUAAAAAAAAUUAUUCCCUUCCUAAACAUAUAACACCAAAAUAAUAAAUAAAAAAUAGAGAAGAGAUUAAUCUUAUGAAUUCUGGAAGUAGAGAAGAAAACCCAACGGUUUCAGUUUUCCGGCAAGGAGUUGGAGAAUUUGGAUUUUAAAAUUUACCAGGAAUUGGAGAAUGGGGUGCUUCCAAGUUUGAAUUUUGUGAAUUCCACUAUGGUGUGUAGAGAAGAAGAGAGAAGAGAAAGAAGGUUCCAAAAUUCUUGGAAUUUUGAUUAUGUUUUUCCCGCAUGUUCUUUGAUCACAAAUACCAUUCACAAACCCAAAUGUAUGAGCACUGUGCAAGCUUAGUUUCCGAUUGUUACAGAACGUCGAAUGUGAAAAACGCUGAAGGGUUUUGGAAAAGUAAUUGUCACCAGAAAGAAUGAAAAUGUGAUGGAGUUGGAGAAGUUACAGUGGUGGAGAAGUUAAGGUUUUGAAGCUAUAUAUGGAAGGAGUCAG
RNAcentral lists this long non-coding RNA (2086 nucleotides) under Lupinus angustifolius (narrow-leaved blue lupine). RNAcentral describes it as "long non-coding RNA (LANG_LNC000660)". Lineage: Eukaryota; Viridiplantae; Streptophyta; Magnoliopsida; Fabales; Fabaceae. The record is from RNAcentral.